AAAGUUGUAUUCCUUUGUGGAUUAAUGUAAUUCUUCAGUUUGACACAAUUACUCUUCUGUCAUAUGGUAGAGUGUAUCUUAAGUUAAUAUUUCUAGAGGCUUCAUGGCACAGUCUACCAAAAUUUUGUGUGUUAUUUAUACUGCUUUAGGGAGCUUUAUGCCUGCCAAAAAGGUGUUGCCAACUGUUAUUAGGUCCAUGCACGAUCCAAGUUGAGAAGGGAUUCCCUAUAGAUGGUGAAGUCCUUCACAUGCUCCGGUUUGCAAAUGAUGUUCUGACUGUGUCAGGUCCUGGAACAAUGCAGAUUGUCCUAAAUGAGUCAUAAUUAUUCUGACGAGUUUGGUCUAACCAGACACUCAGGAAAAGACAAGCAAAUGAGAUACUUCUUGUUCAGACUACAUGCAAGUGAAUGGAUAUAGAACAUACAAAACUAAUCACUGAAAACACACCGUGAGUUAGGGCCAAAAUUGAAUAAAGAGGAGAACAGCCUGGUUUGUUUUAGGAAAAUAGCCAAGUUAUUUCAUUGACCCCAAAGCUUCUCCCUGAAACAAGGUCCAUCUUUUUAAUACCAAUAUUCUUCUGAUGUUGUAUGGAUGUGAGUUGGAGAAUGAAGAAUCGAAGUUGAGGAUCACCUAAAUGGCAGUCAAGAGGUACAUGGUGGGCAUGGACAGGCUGCAACACGUUACCAAGAAGGCAUUUGGAAGGCAAACUUCCUCAAAUUCCCUGACUGCACAUUGGAUUAUUAAAGUAACAUAGAGCACAACAAAAUAGAAAUCCAACUGGGCAGAAUUGUAAGUAGCAGUCUCUAUUUUUUCUUCAACAGACUCUUUUUUUUUUUUUUUUUUGCAUUCAGAUUCAUCAUGUCACCUUCUCACACUCACUGUAACGCACCCACCCACCCACACACACACACCUGCAUGCAAAGAUUUCUGGCUCAUAUACUCCAGUGCUAUGACUCGAACAGACACUAACUACUAAGAAUGUGUUUGUUACAAUCAGUGUGAAUCCUAUGGAUUAGAAUAGUUUCUAGAGUUUGGUUACCUUUACCAUACCUUAUGGUCAAAAUGAUAAGCUUGUAAGGAUGGCAUGGCAUACUUGAAUCAAACCUUUCUUUAUCUCAAGCAAUCACACAUAUUUACAAUAUGUACAGGUGACUUUCUACUAUAGAGGGAAAAGUAUCAAGACUGAAUGUUGUUACAAAUUUCCUGAAUUGAGGGUAUUUCCAGUCCCUGUAAUUCAAAAGCAAAUCUGCUGACUUGGCAUUAGGACUCUUAAAAUAGUGUGAUCAAACCGAUAGAGUAAGAAGGUGUUUACAGAAAUAACAUUUACAAACUGUAUAUACAGUACACAGUACCAGUACAUAGAAAAUAGAUUCUCACUUUAUGAUCCCCUUUGUGUAAGGCAAGACUGAAUCUGUCCCCCAAAUUUAGUCAACCAGAGGUACAAGCAACAGAUAGUGGUCCUUCAAUGAAUAUGCAAAUUGGGAAAAAUACUAUUUUGUUGUUGUUGUUGUUGUUGUUGUUGUGUAGGCUGACUCUGGCUUGCUGAAUACACAGGAGAUUAUCACACAUCAACUCUAGCUUGUUUAAAACACUAACACCACCUGAAGAUGGCAACAGAUAUUGUUCAAGGGGCAGCUACCAAAAACAGCUUUGUAAAAGUCAAGUACAACACCAGAAGCCUGCAACUGUACCAGGCGAAGAAACAGACACAGAUGUUAAAUAACAUGAAAAAGAAGAGGAAGAAAAUCUCCCACCUGUGAAUUGGAGGCUGGGGUGGAGCUGAUAGGAAGAGAUGCUGUGGCUAGAGUACGACUCAGGAGAGGGUUGGGG
Long non-coding RNA from Dromiciops gliroides (monito del monte), 1830 nucleotides. RefSeq lists it as uncharacterized. The transcript is spliced from 3 exons. The record is from RefSeq and is a predicted model, not a curated record. NCBI's taxonomy places the organism in Eukaryota, Metazoa, Chordata, Mammalia, Microbiotheria, Microbiotheriidae.